RNAcentral lists this ribosomal RNA (529 nucleotides) under uncultured bacterium. Its description in RNAcentral is "bacterial SSU rRNA". It matches the Rfam family "Bacterial small subunit ribosomal RNA", at positions 777 to 1304 of the family's 1533-position model. The record is from RNAcentral.
AAUAGAUACCCGGGUAGUCCACGCCGUAAACGAUGAGUGCUAAGUGUUAGAGGGUUUCCGCCCUUUAGUGCUGCAGCUAACGCAUUAAGCACUCCGCCUGGGGAGUACGGUCGCAAGACUGAAACUCAAAGGAAUUGACGGGGGCCCGCACAAGCGGUGGAGCAUGUGGUUUAAUUCGAAGCAACGCGAAGAACCUUACCAGGUCUUGACAUCCUCUGACAACUCUAGAGAUAGAGCGUUCCCCUUCGGGGGACAGAGUGACAGGUGGUGCAUGGUUGUCGUCAGCUCGUGUCGUGAGAUGUUGGGUUAAGUCCCGCAACGAGCGCAACCCUUGAUCUUAGUUGCCAGCAUUAAGUUGGGCACUCUAAGGUGACUGCCGGUGACAAACCGGAGGAAGGUGGGGAUGACGUCAAAUCAUCAUGCCCCUUAUGACCUGGGCUACACACGUGCUACAAUGGAUGGUACAAAGGGCUGCAAGACCGCGAGGUCAAGCCAAUCCCAUAAAACCAUUCUCAGUUCGGAUUGUAGG